UACGGAGGGUGCGAGCGUUAAUCGGAAUUACUGGGCGUAAAGCGCACGUAGGCGGUCAGGCAAGUCGGGUGUGAAAGCCCUGGGCUCAACCUGGGAAUUGCAGUGGAUACUGGCGAGCUAGAGUGCGGUAGAGGAUGGUGGAAUUCCCGGUGUAGCGGUGAAAUGCGUAGAGAUCGGGAGGAACACCCGUGGCGAAGGCGGCCAUCUGGACCAGCACUGACGCUGAGGCACGAAAGCGUGGGGAGCAAACAGG
Molecule: ribosomal RNA, 253 nt
Filed under: uncultured bacterium
Lineage: Bacteria
Description: partial 16S ribosomal RNA
Rfam family: Bacterial small subunit ribosomal RNA
Source: RNAcentral